Molecule: ribosomal RNA, 841 nt
Filed under: Porphyromonas somerae
Lineage: Bacteria; Pseudomonadati; Bacteroidota; Bacteroidia; Bacteroidales; Porphyromonadaceae
Also listed under: 1 other name
Description: bacterial SSU rRNA
Rfam family: Bacterial small subunit ribosomal RNA
Source: RNAcentral
GUAGCGGUGGAAUGCAUAGAUAUCACGCAGAACUCCGAUUGCGAAGGCAGCUUACUAAGGUACAACUGACGCUGAAGCACGAAAGCGUGGGUAUCAAACAGGAUUAGAUACCCUGGUAGUCCACGCAGUAAACGAUGAUAACUGGGCGUAUGCGAUAUACAGUAUGCUCCUAAGCGAAAGCGUUAAGUUAUCCACCUGGGGAGUACGCCGGCAACGGUGAAACUCAAAGGAAUUGACGGGGGCCCGCACAAGCGGAGGAACAUGUGGUUUAAUUCGAUGAUACGCGAGGAACCUUACCCGGGAUUGAAAUGUAGAUGACCGCUCCUGAAAGGGAGUUUUCCUUCGGGACAUCUAUGUAGGUGCUGCAUGGUUGUCGUCAGCUCGUGCCGUGAGGUGUCGGCUUAAGUGCCAUAACGAGCGCAACCCCUGUCUACGGUUGCCAUCAGGUAAUGCUGGGAACUCCGUAGAGACUGCCGUCGUAAGGCGUGAGGAAGGUGGGGAUGACGUCAAAUCAGCACGGCCCUUACAUCCGGGGCGACACACGUGUUACAAUGGUAAGGACAAAGGGCAGCUACCUGGCGACAGGAUGCGAAUCUCUAAACCUUAUCACAGUUCGGAUCGGAGUCUGCAACUCGACUCCGUGAAGCUGGAUUCGCUAGUAAUCGCGCAUCAGCCAUGGCGCGGUGAAUACGUUCCCGGGCCUUGUACACACCGCCCGUCAAGCCAUGGGAGUCUGGAGUACCUAAAGUCCGUAACCGCAAGGGUCGGCCUAGGGUAAUACAGGUGACUGGGGCUAAGUCGUAACAAGGUAGCCGUACCGGAAGGUGCGGCUGGAACACCU